Molecule: RNA transcript, 5715 nt
Organism: Strigops habroptila (Kakapo)
Lineage: Eukaryota; Metazoa; Chordata; Aves; Psittaciformes; Psittacidae
Gene: SMC4
Gene name: structural maintenance of chromosomes 4
Exons: 25
Source: RefSeq, a predicted model, not a curated record
UGGGCGCCAUUUUCGAGUGUGGAAGCCGCCGAGCCGCGGCAGGAGCCGGAGCCGCCCGCGCUGCCACAGCCUGCAGCCUCGCUGGGGCCGGGCGCCGCCGGUCCUCGAAGCAAAGGAGAUAGAUCCCUUCAGUAGUCUGAUUGCUUGGAAUGGAACAGCCAACAGAGAUCAUGCCAAGCAAGAGCACCAAAGCCUCUACAGCAGCCCAUGGGAAAGGCAGAGAGCCCUUAGAGGAGUCCACCAGUGAUAUGGAAGUGGAAAACGAAGGCAACAGAAAGCUUGGCGAAGUACCUCCACAAGCAGUCUCAAGCGAGGUGGUUGAUAAUCAAACUUUAGAAGAGAUUUUGGGUAGCAUCUCUCCUCCCCCACCUCCAGUAGUGACCAAUGAAGCUGGCGCUCCUCGUCUUAUGAUAACUCAUAUUGUAAACCAGAACUUCAAAUCUUACGCAGGGGAGCAAACUUUGGGACCUUUUCAUAAGCGUUUUUCAUGUAUUAUUGGGCCAAAUGGUAGUGGAAAAUCCAAUAUCAUUGAUUCGAUGCUUUUUGUGUUUGGGUAUCGAGCACAAAAAAUCAGAUCCAAAAAACUCUCUGUGCUGAUCCAUAAUUCUGAUGAACAUACAGAUAUCCAGAGUUGUUCUGUGGAAAUCCACUUCCAAAAGAUCAUUGACAAGGAAGGAGAUGAUUAUGAAGUCAUUCCUAACAGCAAAUUUUGUGUAUCUAGAACUGCCUAUAGAGAUAAUUCUUCAGUCUACCACAUCAAUGGAAAGAAAGCGACCUUCAAAGAUGUUGGUAUUCUUCUUCGAAGCCAUGGAAUUGAUCUGGACCAUAACAGAUUCUUAAUUUUACAGGGGGAAGUUGAACAAAUCGCUAUGAUGAAACCGAAAGGCCAGACUGAACAUGAUGAAGGCAUGCUUGAAUAUUUAGAAGACUUAAUAGGAUCUGCACGACUAAAAGAACCUAUCCAAGUUCUGUGUCGCAGAAUAGAGAUUUUAAAUGAACGGAGAGGGGAAAAGUUAAACAGAGUUAAAAUGGUGGAAAAAGAAAAGGAUGCCUUGGAAGCAGACAGGAAUAAAGCCAUUGAAUUUCUUUGUUUGGAAAACAAAAUGUUUAAAGAAAAGAAUCGGAUCUGUCAAUACUAUAUUCAUGACCUAAAGAAACGAUUAAACGAUAUGGAAAUGCAGAAAGAAAAAAUUAAUGAAGAAACAAAAGAUGUUAAUGAGAAGAGCAAGAAACUUGGAGACGAAAUGAAAGCCAAGAGUAAAAGUUUGAAAGAACUUGAAAAGAAACGUGGUAAAAUAACAAAGUUUAUCGAGGAAAAAAAAGAAGAAUUUACUAAGUUGGAUUUGCAGGAUGUUAAAGUAAGGGAAAAUUUAAAACAUGCCAAGAGCAAGACUAAAAAAUUGGAGAAGCAAAUUCAGAAGGACAAAGAAAAGGUAUUAGAAUUGAAAAAAGUGCCUGCCGAUAGUGAAAAAUCUAUCACCGAAACAACGUCUAAGAAAGAGCUUCUUGAAAAGACAAAAGAGGAAGAAGAAUUAAAACUCAAGCAGGUUAUAGAUAGCCUUAAGCAAGAAACACAAGGACUUCAGACAGAAAAAGAGAGCAAAGAGGAGGAGCUUAUGGAGUUUAUUAAAACAGUGAAUGAAGCUCGUUCAAAGAGGGAUGUUGCCCAGUCAGAGCUUGAGAUCUAUCUUGCCCGUCAUAAUACUGCUGUGUCUCAGUUAAAUCAGGCAAAGGAGGCUCUGAAGACUGUUUCAGAAACUCUUAAGGAAAGGAAGGCUGCUAUCAAAGAGAUAAGUGUAAAAUUACCCCAAGCUGAACAGGAGUUGAAGAAGAAAGAAAAUGAGCUUGAGAAACUAAGAAGAGAAGAAGAAAGUGCCAAGAAUCUUGUUCGAAACCUGCGUCAUAAAGUAGAAGAAGCCAAAAGUUCUUUAGCAAUGAGUCGCAAUCGAGGAAGAGUGCUUGAGGCUCUGCUUCAGCAGAAGAAAAGUGGAAAUAUUCCUGGACUAUAUGGAAGACUGGGAGACUUGGGAGCUAUCGAUGAGAAAUAUGAUAUUGCUAUUUCAUCAUCUUGUGGUGCCUUAGACAACAUUGUUGUCGAUACAAUUGAUACUGCACAGGCAUGUGUGAAUUUCUUGAAGACAGAAGGAAUCGGAGUUGCCACGUUUAUAGCCAUGGACAAAAUGGCUGUGUGGGAAAAAAAUCUUCAGAAAAUCCCCACUCCAGAGAAUGUUCCUCGGUUGUUUGAUCUGGUGAAAGCAAACGACGAGAAGUUUCGCCUGGCUUUUUACUUCGCAUUACGUGAUACUUUAGUAGCUAAUAACUUGGAAGAUGCUUCCAGAAUAGCAUUUCAAAAAGAUAAAAGAUGGAGGGUGGUAACGCUUCAAGGACAAGUCAUUGAACAGUCAGGAACAAUGACUGGUGGUGGGGGUAAAGUAAUGAAGGGCAGAAUGGGUUCUUUAGUCGUAAUGGAUGUUUCAGAAGAAGAGGUCAAUAAAAUGGAAUGUCAACUGCAGAAGGAUUCUAAAAGAGCAGUACAGUAUGAAGAAGAGAAAUCACUACUUGAAGAAGCUAUAAGCAAACUGCAACGAGAUGUUCGGGAAAUGAAAAAUAAUUUAGAAAAGUAUUCAGCAAGUAUCAAGAAUUUACCUGAACAAGAAAUUCAUCUGAAAACCCGCAUUAAGGAACUUGAAGCCAAUGUAAUUGCUACUGCUCCAGACAAAACCAAACAGAACGAAUUGGAAAAAGUCCUUAAUGGUUAUAAAAAAGAUUAUGACUGUGCUGCUGCAAAAGCUGGUGAAAUAGAAAGUGAAGUUAAACGACUACAUAACCUCAUAAUUGAUACCAAUAAUCAGAAACUUAAACCACAUCAAGACAAACUUAACAAGAUCAACAAAGAAAUAGACGAAUGUUUUUCAACUAUUACUAAAGCCCAGGUGGCAAUCAAGACUGCGGAUAGAAACGUGAAAAAAUCUCAAGAUGCUCUUCUUCACACGGAGAAGGAAUUGGAAGACAAUGAGAAAGAAAUUAAAGACUUAAUGAAAGAACUGACUGAACUGGAAGCCAAAGCUGCUGAGGUUAUGAAUGACUGCAGGCAAGCCGAAGAAGCGUUGCCAGGAAUUCAACAGGAGCAUCAUGAUUUACUCCAGGAGAUAAAAAUCAUUCAGGAUGAGGAACAUGCACUUCAAAAGGAAGCUCUUAAUAUUAAGCUGAAAAUGGAACAAAUUGACAGUCAUAUUUCUGCACACCAGUCAAAGAUGAAAUACUGGCAAAAAGAGAUGUCAAAAUUAUCACUGCACCCCAUAGAAGAUAAACAACCUGAAGAACUUCCAGUACUAAGUCAAGAAGAGCUGGAGGCUCUCAAGGAUCCCAAUGUUAUCACUAAUCAAAUAGCUCUCCUGGAAGCCCAGUGUAAUGAAAUGAAACCCAACCUUGGUGCUAUUGCAGAAUACAAGAAGAAGGAAGAGCUGUACUUGAAACAUGUGGCUGAACUGGAUGACGUUACCAAUGAGAGAGACAACUUCAGGCAAGCUUUUGAAGAUCUCCGGAAACAAAGGCUAAAUGAGUUUAUGGCAGGAUUUAAUGUAAUAACAAAUAAACUGAAGGAGAACUACCAGAUGCUUACACUGGGAGGGGAUGCCGAGUUAGAACUUGUGGACAGUCUGGAUCCCUUCUCUGAGGGAAUCAUGUUUAGCGUUCGGCCUCCCAAGAAAAGUUGGAAGAAGAUAUUUAACUUAUCGGGAGGCGAGAAGACCCUUAGUUCACUGGCUUUAGUUUUUGCUCUCCAUCAUUACAAACCAACGCCACUUUAUUUUAUGGACGAAAUUGAUGCAGCACUUGACUUCAAAAAUGUGUCUAUUGUAGCGUUUUACAUAUAUGAGCAAACCAAAAAUGCACAGUUCAUUGUCAUCUCCCUGCGGAACAACAUGUUUGAGAUUGCGGACAGGUUAAUUGGAAUUUAUAAGACUCACAAUACGACAAAAAGCGUGGCAACAAACCCCAAAGUUAUUGCAGCUAAAGGACUGGAUGAACUCAAGGCUAUUGGGUGCGGUAUAGCUCAACCAUAGAGUAGAGUGCACUUACAUUCUCAUUGCUGCUGUUUCAUGUAUUAUACACUUUUUGAGAUUAUUUUUCUUUUGUGUUUGAGCUUUUUAAUCAAACCAGCCUCAAUAAACUUAAUUUUUUUUUAAUUAUACAUAGACUUUAUAUCUUAAUUUUAUGAACUGAAUAAAAGAGAAAAUCUAUUCCCUAAAUUAUGUAUUUAGCUGUAUCUUAAUACUCCAGGUAUAGGCUUUACGUCAAUGCUUGGGUUCCACAUUUGGUUUUAAAUGCCUUUUUUUGCUGUGUUUAUUAAAGUAAGGAAAUUGCUUUCAAAUGUCAUCAAUGUCCUGUAACAUUGUAUGGUACGAGUUCCAGCAAGUCAGGUCGGUAUAUGUAUCAUUUACAUGUGUAUAAUGUCCUAUGUCCUGCUGCACGGUUUAGGGAACAGCCAAUUUGGUAGCCAUUUUGUAGUGACUUGGUUCAGUUUAGGAAGCUGCUCUUCUGUUACUUUCCUCUCCCCUUCCGCAGGCCACAGCAUGCACUUGGGGUUGUUCAGUACAGGAAGGGUGUGGGGUUUUGGUUUUUGUUUGUUUGUUUUUGUUUUGGUAGGGGGGUUUUUUUGUACUUUUAGAACUGAAAUUGCGUGUUUUACUCCAAAACCCAGGCCAGCGUGGCACACUUGCACUGGAACUGCUCCCUGAAGUAGGAGUGUAUCUGUCACAUGUUGGCACGCUUCCUGAGGCAGGGAAUUAUGCAGAACUGACCCAACCCCAGGGAUGGGACAGGCUCAGCCCAGCACCAGAGGCCCCGUCAACAGGGAGCAGAUCUGGAACAGUGUUCAGAAACUGCAGCAACAGUCACACACAUGACAUUGGAUGAGAAAAAUGGGACCACAUCUCUUCUGCAGCCCCCCUCCAGCUGUGCAGUUUUGGCUUUCCUGUCUCAGGAUGAAGCCAGAAAGUGUUGCAGUGCAGCUUCAGGAUCAGCAGAUGGGCAGGACCAGCCAAGAACAAAAAUGUAUGGAUCAAGAAGCAGCCCUUUUAAAGUGCAGCAGCAGAGUAAUGACCUAGCUCAAGAAGCAGAAAGAAACCCCACCCCAGGUUUGAAGGGCACAAACCCCUCAAUUAAAAUGCAGUUAAAAGGUUUGAUUUUCUUGAUAAAGUUUGUUUCUCUCUCUCAAACUCAGCAUGGAGGACAGAACAGAGCAGGGCUUAGCUGUGCAAUGCUUAGCAGACUGGGCUAAGAGGAAAAGGAGUCACUGCACCAGCACUUGCCACCUGCUGACAAAGCCAGGUGAAGUGGGCCUGUGGUGGGCAGGGUGCAUGACUCUGCAAUCCACAGUGGGACGCGUAGACUGGGGACUCGCUGCCAAAAAUAAAAAGGGUCACUUGGAGACAGUGUUGCUGCACAUUCCUGUGUAGGCAAGACUGGCUCCUCUGCCUUCGCUCACUGGGUCAGUGCUCUUCAGGAUCAGAGGGAAGGAAAUGGAGGUGUUAGCCAAGCCUACUGUAAGAAUACGUUUUAUUUGUAUGCAAAUUUAUUAAAAGUACUAGAAGUACUAAAUGUUUAAACCAGUGGUAAAGACAUUUUAUAAAUUCCUGUAGUCUUGAAAAAUAAAAUUGCAUUAUAAACUCUUUAGUUUUUAAAAGUUAGGAAAAUAAGAGACAGGAAGGCAAG